CUCAAACACACAGAGAUCCACCUGCCUCUGCCACCUGAGUGCUGGGAUUAAAGUUGGCACACCACCACCCGGCCAACUUUCAGAAUUAACUUGAGUGUGGUGGAUAAUUAGAGCUUAAAUUUCUAUGAAAGAUGCUGCCUGAAAGGAAAGUCCUAAGUAGUGAAGAGUCAAGUUGUGAGCAUUUGACAACCGCACAGCUAUGUUACUAAUAACCUUUUGACUCCUGAAUGUAGGUUUAGGGGCUUUCUCUUUUUGUUGCUGAGCGAGAGAGAAUGAGCUCAUCAGAGGACAUAUGGAGGUCAGAGGACAACUUGAGUGAGUUGUCUUUCUUUAUUCCACCAUGUGAAACCAAGGAUUGAACUUAGGUUGUCAAGCUUUUGUGGCAAGUAGCCUUACCCACUGAGUCAUAAUGCUAGCCUAAGGGCCUUAAUUCUUGAUGAAAUAAGAAAAUGGGUAAAUGAGAUCCUUCAACCUACCAGCAGCAUUAAAACAUAGCUUAAGCUUAAAAAAUAGUCACCUGCUCAGCAACUGACAUCCUCCUGUUUGGAUCAACAUCUCGGCCCUCUAGCUUGGCUUUCACUCUCUUCCACACACUCACUGCAUAGGAGUUUCUCUCUUGCACAGCUAUAAAGCAAUGACACGUUAGUCAAACCAACCUUUGUGUAUUAUACAAUUAUAAGGCAUUCAUACUCUGAUUACCUUUCCCUGUUUUAGGAUCUCUGACAGCCUUUUUGGGACUACAAACAAUGCUCUUGCCAGUUCCUGGGAUGGUGCUUGGUGGAGUAUCUGCUGAUUUCUUUCAAAGUGGGAGUGAUUUCCUGCAGCAUUUCAACAUGUUCUUGACUUCGAACCUGACCCAUGGCCUGGACUAACGUGAACAAAACUGUCUGGAUGUUGUCUUGCCAUGAUUUAUACUCAGCCAGGAAUUGUCUGACACUGCUCUCAUAGGGGAUAUCUUCAGCAUCUGCUAGAGCAGCCUCUUCAUCCUGCCACCAAUGCACAAUCCAUUAGUAACAGACUUGUUCGUUGCAGCAAUUCCUCUCAAGACAGUCACCUUGUGAUCAAGAUGUAAUAAAUGACCUAAAUACCA
Peromyscus eremicus (cactus mouse) is the source of this 1090-nucleotide long non-coding RNA. RefSeq lists it as uncharacterized. The transcript has 2 exons. NCBI's taxonomy places the organism in Eukaryota, Metazoa, Chordata, Mammalia, Rodentia, Cricetidae. The record is from RefSeq and is a predicted model, not a curated record.